This 1088-nucleotide ribosomal RNA is filed under the name Muribaculaceae bacterium. RNAcentral describes it as "bacterial SSU rRNA". It matches the Rfam family "Bacterial small subunit ribosomal RNA", at positions 1 to 1072 of the family's 1533-position model. Lineage: Bacteria; Pseudomonadati; Bacteroidota; Bacteroidia; Bacteroidales; Muribaculaceae. The record is from RNAcentral.
ACAACGAAGAGUUUGAUCCUGGCUCAGGAUGAACGCUAGCGACAGGCUUAACACAUGCAAGUCGAGGGGCAGCGGGGGUGCAGGCUUGCCUGCACCUGCCGGCGACCGGCGCACGGGUGAGUAACACGUAUGCAACCUGGCCGUGACAGAGGGAUAACCCGGAGAAAUCCGGACUAAUACCGCAUGACGCGGGGGAGGGGCCUCCCUCCCCCGCUAAAGGGGCAACCCGGUCACGGAUGGGCAUGCGGCGCAUUAGCUAGUUGGCGGGGUAACGGCCCACCAAGGCGACGAUGCGUAGGGGUUCUGAGAGGAAGGUCCCCCACAUUGGAACUGAGACACGGUCCAAACUCCUACGGGAGGCAGCAGUGAGGAAUAUUGGUCAAUGGCCGGAAGGCUGAACCAGCCAAGUCGCGUGAGGGAAUAAGGCCCUACGGGUCGUAAACCUCUUUUGCCAGGGAGCAAUGCCGUCCACGUGUGGACGGAAGGAGAGUACCUGGAGAAAAAGCAUCGGCUAACUCCGUGCCAGCAGCCGCGGUAAUACGGAGGAUGCGAGCGUUAUCCGGAUUUAUUGGGUUUAAAGGGUGCGUAGGCGGCCUGCCAAGUCAGCGGUAAAAUUGCGGGGCUCAACCCCGUACAGCCGUUGAAACUGCCGGGCUCGAGUGGGCGAGAAGUAUGCGGAAUGCGUGGUGUAGCGGUGAAAUGCAUAGAUAUCACGCAGAACCCCGAUUGCGAAGGCAGCAUACCGGCGCCCGACUGACGCUGAGGCACGAAAGUGCGGGGAUCAAACAGGAUUAGAUACCCUGGUAGUCCGCACAGUAAACGAUGAAUGCUAGCUGUCCGGGGGGAUUGACCCCUGGGUGGCACAGCGAAAGCGUUAAGCAUUCCACCUGGGGAGUACGCCGGCAACGGUGAAACUCAAAGGAAUUGACGGGGGCCCGCACAAGCGGAGGAACAUGUGGUUUAAUUCGAUGAUACGCGAGGAACCUUACCCGGGCUCAAACGCCGAAGGGACAUUCCCCGAAAGGGGAUUGGCCAGCAAUGGUCUUCGGCGAGGUGCUGCAUGGUUGUCGUCAGCUCGUGCCGUGAGG